This 484-nucleotide ribosomal RNA is filed under the name uncultured bacterium. Its description in RNAcentral is "partial 16S ribosomal RNA". It matches the Rfam family "Bacterial small subunit ribosomal RNA", at positions 30 to 507 of the family's 1533-position model. The record is from RNAcentral.
AUUGAACGCUGGCGGCAGGCCUAACACAUGCAAGUCGAGCGGAUGAAGGGAGCUUGCUCCUGGAUUCAGCGGCGGACGGGUGAGUAAUGCCUAGGAAUCUGCCUGGUAGUGGGGGAUAACGUCCGGAAACGGGCGCUAAUACCGCAUACGUCCUGAGGGAGAAAGUGGGGGAUCUUCGGACCUCACGCUAUCAGAUGAGCCUAGGUCGGAUUAGCUAGUUGGUGGGGUAAAGGCCUACCAAGGUGACGAUCCGUAACCGGUCUGAGAGGAUGAUCAGUCACACUGGAACUGAGACACGGUCCAGGCUCCUACGGGAGGCAGCAGUGGGGAAUAUUGGACAAUGGGCGAAAGCCUGAUCCAGCCAUGCCGCGUGUGUGAAGAAGGUCUUCGGAUUGUAAAGCACUUUAAGUUGGGAGGAAGGGCAGUAAGUUAAUACCUUGCUGUUUUGACGUUACCAACAGAAUAAGCACCGGCUAACUUCGUG